GUUUGAUCCUGGCUCAGAUUGAACGCUGGCGGAAUGCUUUACACAUGCAAGUCGAACGAUGAACCUUAGCUUGCUAGGGGGAUUAGUGGCGAACGGGUGAGUAAUAUAUCGGAACGUACCUUGUAAUGGGGGAUAACUAGUCGAAAGAUUAGCUAAUACCGCAUACGCCCUGAGGGGGAAAGUAGGGGAUCUUCGGACCUUACGUUAUAAGAGCGGCCGAUAUCUGAUUAGCUAGUCGGUGGGGUAAUGGCCUACCAAGGCGACGAUCAGUAGCUGGUCUGAGAGGACGACCAGCCACACUGGAACUGAGACACGGUCCAGACUCCUACGGGAGGCAGCAGUGGGGAAUUUUGGACAAUGGGCGCAAGCCUGAUCCAGCCAUUCCGCGUGAGUGAAGAAGGCCUUCGGGUUGUAAAGCUCUUUCGCAAGGGAAGAAAACUUACACAAUAACACUGUGUGAGGCUGACGGUACCUUGAUAAGAAGCACCGGCUAACUACGUGCCAGCAGCCGCGGUAAUACGUAGGGUGCGAGCGUUAAUCGGAAUUACUGGGCGUAAAGCGUGCGCAGGCGGUUUUGUAAGUCAGAUGUGAAAUCCCCGAGCUCAACUUGGGAACUGCGUUUGAAACUACAAGACUAGAAUAUGUCAGAGGGGGGUAGAAUUCCACGUGUAGCAGUGAAAUGCGCAGAGAUGUGGAGGAAUACCAAUGGCGAAGGCAGCCCCCUGGAAUAAUAUUGACGCUCAUGCACGAAAGCGUGGGGAGCAAACAGGAUUAGAUACCCUGGUAGUCCACGCCCUAAACGAUG
RNAcentral lists this ribosomal RNA (805 nucleotides) under uncultured bacterium. RNAcentral describes it as "bacterial SSU rRNA". It matches the Rfam family "Bacterial small subunit ribosomal RNA", at positions 11 to 811 of the family's 1533-position model. The record is from RNAcentral.